UAAUUUUUAAGAAGAGUGACUUGAUGCCA
RNAcentral lists this non-coding RNA (29 nucleotides) under Rattus norvegicus (Norway rat). Lineage: Eukaryota; Metazoa; Chordata; Mammalia; Rodentia; Muridae. The record is from RNAcentral.